This 1199-nucleotide long non-coding RNA is filed under the name Scleropages formosus (Asian bonytongue). RNAcentral describes it as "lncRNA (ENSSFOG00015027915.1)". The record is from RNAcentral. Lineage: Eukaryota; Metazoa; Chordata; Actinopteri; Osteoglossiformes; Osteoglossidae.
UAGUUUCCCAAAUGGAGUCAUACACAUCUGAUGUUCAGACAGACAUUCCUGAACAUAAAUGUGCCACCUUUUCCAAUGAGGAACUGGAAAAAAGAUAUUUACUGAAAAAUUCACAGAAAUCCAUUAUGGUGGAAUCAGAAAGUGGAACCUCUCCAAUGAGUAUAGAUGAUAGUGAUUUGAUUAAACAGGAAGUACAAAACAAUACCAUAAUACAUGUUUUAGGUUACCCCCCAAAAAGUCAAAGUAAACACAAAUUUGAAGAGGAAACUCUUAAUGUACCAGUAACGGACUGUAUUAGUUAUUCAGAUUCACCAGAAAGUUUAAAUGAAAAUUCUGGCCCUGGUGUUCUGCUUAGUGUUGAAAGUAACAGUGAAAUGAACACACAAAAAGACAUAACUCUUAUUCAUGGUGCUACACUAAAUCCUGAUGACAACAAACAUAACCAAAUAUGCCUAGAUCAAAAUCAGUUUCUUGUUUCUGGUACUGAGUUAAGCACUGAUGGCAGCAAACAUAACCAAACAUGUGAAGAUCAAGACAGAGAUAUUAUUCCUGCAUCCAAACUCAACAUGGACAAAAAUCUGGAAAAGAAUCCCUUUCUUCAUGCUGAAGGAGUGCCUGAGCAUAAGGGACAUAAAGAGGAGUUGGGUGAUGUACUGGAGCCAACUCGGCCUGUCUAUGCAAUUUCCUGCUUCUGGGAUGAGAUGGAAAAGCUAACUAUCAAUGACAUUCUACAGCUCAGAUUAGUAGGCAAUGCCCAGAGUCAUGGUUCACCCUCUUACUUGCAGGAUGAUGUUAUGAUGCAUGCAUCUGGGGCUGCCAGCUCUGGCUUCUUCACUUGUUUGGAGGACUCUAAACCUAACCUUUCCAGUGGGGACAUCUCCACUUUCUCUGACUUUGAGGAAGAGUUCUCUCUAACUCACACUCUCAGUGAAACAGCUAGUCCUGAGCCUCAGGUUUCUGAAAGUCAGUUUCAAAGUUCACCUAAUCCCAACAGGUCACGAGAUGUGUUAUGGGAAAGUGGAAUAGACCCUAUGCUGGCUUUAAAUGAUGCACUGGUGACACACUCUGAUGAUGUUCGUGAACAAAGCAUGUUCCUUGGAAGUGACCAGAAAUGUCUCACAAGGAUGCGCAAAAAUAUCAGCGUGAAGAACCUAACGGGUCUGGAGAUAGAAGAGUGCCAUAUGGGUCUUGGGUCUCGG